Hyalella azteca is the source of this 931-nucleotide long non-coding RNA. RefSeq lists it as uncharacterized. The transcript has 3 exons. The record is from RefSeq and is a predicted model, not a curated record. Lineage: Eukaryota; Metazoa; Arthropoda; Malacostraca; Amphipoda; Hyalellidae.
AGAAUUAUAGUCUAUUCUUAAAGUGAUGCAUAGGUGUUUGUUUCUCCAGUCAUCUAAAUUUUAGCAUUUAUUUAGCUGCCACCAAACCCACUGAUAAUAGGUAGUUCUUUACAGGAUUUUGCAAUAUAUUCAAGAGGAAUACACAAAUGUGUCGAACCACAAGGCUGCGGUAUCGGUGUUAGAGCAGCAGCGGAUUGGUCCUGUGGUUGACAAGACAGACUACGCUUCCCUCGUCUCCAACACAGACAAAUCCGUUGAAAUUCGCAGGCUACCCACGCCUCUGCCGUGGUAAGACAGCUGAGGUGACGUGUGAACGACUUGCUGAAGGUGUGAACGACUUGCUGGCCGCUGCGUCUACUGGGCUACGCGAGCUCCACCCCAGCGCUUCCACUGCCGUCCUCGUCAACACCCGAGCCUUGUUCCUGCACCACGCGCAGCAGGUCGCUGUUUUCACUCUUGCGUUUUUCAUGCUCUCAUGUCAUCACCUGAAAUAUUUUCGAGAUCACGUGUGAUUUGGAAUAUGUGCUUCUCCACUAAUAAUGAUUGGUUUUCUAUUGCUUUUGUGUGACUGAUAAUUUUUAACUAGCUAGUGCAUUGGCUCUCUCAACUUUAGAAAAUAGAUGCGCCCUCUCAGGUAAGCGUCUAACAACUUUAUUGUGCUUUUGAAUUUAGUUUGAGCUCGCCGCGUUGCCAAAUAUCUUUUUUAUUUUUUAUGGCACUCAUUAACAUGUAUUAUUGUGUUCUAAAACAAACAUCAUGGCAACCUGUUGCUCUCGAUCAAGUUGUCUUCAGGUAAACGUUUGAUUUUUUUUUUGCUCUUGACUUGCAGUUGGAGUGCUUAGAGGAUUUUUCCUCGUACAUCGCGUGGUUGAAAGCCGAACUUGGAUCCCUGCAGCCCGCUCUACAGGAGAAAAAUAAAGACGUUCAAGUG